Long non-coding RNA from Felis catus (domestic cat), 822 nucleotides. RefSeq lists it as uncharacterized. Lineage: Eukaryota; Metazoa; Chordata; Mammalia; Carnivora; Felidae. The transcript is spliced from 2 exons. The record is from RefSeq and is a predicted model, not a curated record.
GCUUCCCUGCAGCAAGAGAAUGAGGAAACUGAGAUGGGCCCCAACCUCCAGGACCGAAUCACGGCACUCUGAAAUCCACUCUGUAAACAACCCCCCUCCGCUGACCAACAGGGUAUUUUUACUAGCUGGCGGAGCUGAAUCCUUGGGAAGACUGCUCUCUUUACAGAGUAACAGAAAUGUGUGAAGAAAUGGCACCAGAUGAUUCAGAGUUUGAAAUGAAUGCUUUCAUCCCCAGAGCACUAAACCGGGCGGCCGGAGUCUGCCUCGGGCUUGGUGUCUCCAGCAAACCCCACGCCCACCCCCAGCCCCACCCCCAUCUCCAGGCCAAAUAGGAAAUCUUGGCCCUGUCAACCCCCAAUUCACAGUCUUGUAAGGGGUGUUUGGAGAGGCUUCAGGAGACCCACAAACCCCCAGAAUUACAUACGCAACCGUGUGCUUUCCUGGGAAGGGUCUGUAGUCUUCAGAGUUUUAGUCUCCAGGACCCUAGAACUGAGGGUUAGACCCUAGAACUGUAGGUCUCUGAUACUCCUGCCGAAACAAACUUAAGUGGUUUUUACACCCACAGAAACAGUAAAGACUGUGAUUCUCCACCCCUCCUUGUGUUUGUAACUAGAGUGGUGGCUAACAGCUCCAACUCUGGACCAGACUGCCUGGGUUCGAAGCCUACUUCCACCGUGUCCCAGCUGUGUGGCCUCAAGCAAAUGACUUAACCUCUCUGUGCCCCUGCACUCUCAAUUAGAGCCUGGGGCCAGUAAUCGCACCUACCUCGCUGGUUUGUUUUUCUGAGGGUUAAAUGAGUUAGUACAGAUAAAGUGCUUAGAA